UGGUCUCAAGCAAUCACAACCCGCAUCUGAAAUAUCAAUUGCAAAAAGAGUGGCUUACAGUUUUCUUCUCAGCCAAAAGAACUAAACAUCUUACUUGAAGAAGUGGAACAGAACAUCUGAUGCCAUCUGUUCUUCAACCAUUGCAGGAUCCUUUUGCACAAGCAGAAUUUUAUAGCUUUGCAAUAGGAGAUGGAGAAGACCACUCAAAGACAUGAAGUUCUAGAAAAACUGUUCUAAUUGACUCAUGUACAACGAAGGUCAUUCACAAUGGAUGAAAUCCUACGAUUUGUCAAAUAUUUGAAAAAUAUCAACUGUUGAAGAAGCCUGAAUAUGUACGACAUGACCUUGACAGUUUGAUGGGUGGACAAACUAAGUUUUGAGAUGUUGUAACACAGUGGAAGUCAAAGUGGGUUAAUGCAAUUAGCAUAUGCUGGACUACAUACCUGGGAAAGAAAGAGCUUGGCAAUAAAAUAUCAGAGUGGAGAGACAACAUGCAGAGCGUAUAUGCUGUGGAAGGCUUGAGUAUAGCAAUGAGCCCUAGGAAAGGCGGUGGCAUUGUUUGCUGCAAAAAAAGCAGGGAUGUUUAUACAGGGAAGUACAAGUCUUAAGGAAGUCAUGGAGGCAGUUUACUCCUGGGCUUGUAUCCUUGUGGACUCUUCUACAGUGGACUCUACUGAAGUAUUCCUCGUUCUGAAAAAGAAAUCCUAAUUGGGAUACCAGUAAAAGAAAAUGCCAAUGACUACGUUGUGGUGGGACACUAUGUAUUCAACAUACACUAGUACUACGACUAAGCAGCUGCGCCAGCCCUGGUAUUCAUUUUACACAGUGUGCUUGGAUUGGAAGAAAAAGGACGGAAGAGCUCAUCGUAUUUGGCAGCUACUUCAUCUUUACGAUCUUUUACUUUGCAGUGACUGUUACACUUGUUGACACGGUAUACUCACAGUAUGGAUCAGUAAAUGUUUGGUACUUUGCAGUUAUUUAAUUAGAAGGUUC
Molecule: long non-coding RNA, 993 nt
Organism: Corticium candelabrum
Lineage: Eukaryota; Metazoa; Porifera; Homoscleromorpha; Homosclerophorida; Plakinidae
Exons: 5
Source: RefSeq, a predicted model, not a curated record